This 492-nucleotide ribosomal RNA is filed under the name uncultured bacterium. RNAcentral describes it as "partial 16S ribosomal RNA". It matches the Rfam family "Bacterial small subunit ribosomal RNA", at positions 29 to 507 of the family's 1533-position model. The record is from RNAcentral.
AGUGAACGCUGGCGGUAGGCCUAACACAUGCAAGUCGAACGGCAGCACAGUAAGAGCUUGCUCUUACGGGUGGCGAGUGGCGGACGGGUGAGGAAUACAUCGGAAUCUACUUUUUCGUGGGGGAUAACGUAGGGAAACUUACGCUAAUACCGCAUACGACCUACGGGUGAAAGCAGGGGAUCUUCGGACCUUGCGCGAUUGAAUGAGCCGAUGUCGGAUUAGCUAGUUGGCGGGGUAAAGGCCCACCAAGGCGACGAUCCGCAGCUGGUCUGAGAGGAUGAUCAGCCACACUGGAACUGAGACACGGUCCAGACUCCUACGGGAGGCAGCAGUGGGGAAUAUUGGACAAUGGGCGCAAGCCUGAUCCAGCCAUACCGCGUGGGUGAAGAAGGCCUUCGGGUUGUAAAGCCCUUUUGUUGGGAAAGAAAAGCAGCAGGUUAAUACCCCGCUGUUCUGACGGUACCCAAAGAAUAAGCACCGACUAACUUCGUG